AAUAACAAAAUUUGAUACUUGGGCUAAGGGUCAAGUUGGUAAUUUUUCUUACAUCUCCUCCCACCCUCGGAGCCCAGGUAUCAUAUAUGCCCUAAAAUAAAGAGCCUUGAAUACUAGAAGAAAAAUACCUAGACCUAACAAGAUUAAGUGAAUACCUUAAAUUGUGGUCAUUUUAUUUUGAUCUUUCCA
Molecule: antisense RNA, 189 nt
Filed under: Capsicum annuum
Lineage: Eukaryota; Viridiplantae; Streptophyta; Magnoliopsida; Solanales; Solanaceae
Description: Antisense RNA which regulates isiA expression
Rfam family: Antisense RNA which regulates isiA expression
Source: Rfam by way of RNAcentral